Molecule: transfer RNA, 71 nt
Filed under: Stegodyphus mimosarum
Lineage: Eukaryota; Metazoa; Arthropoda; Arachnida; Araneae; Eresidae
Rfam family: tRNA
About the family: Transfer RNA (tRNA) molecules are approximately 80 nucleotides in length.
Source: Rfam by way of RNAcentral
GUCUCCGUGGUAUAACGGUAGCACACUCGGCGUGUAUUCGAGAGGUCCAGGUUCGAGUCCCGGUAAAGGCA